Molecule: ribosomal RNA, 466 nt
Filed under: uncultured bacterium
Lineage: Bacteria
Description: bacterial SSU rRNA
Rfam family: Bacterial small subunit ribosomal RNA
Source: RNAcentral
UCCAGACUCCUACGGGAGGCAGCAGUGAGGAAUAUUGGUCAAUGGGCGGGAGCCUGAACCAGCCAAGUCGCGUGAGGGAUGACGGCCCUAUGGGUUGUAAACCUCUUUUGCCGGGGAGCAAAGUGCCGCACGUGUGCGGUUUGGAGAGUACCCGGAGAAAAAGCAUCGGCUAACUCCGUGCCAGCAGCCGCGGUAAUACGUAGGGGGCAAGCGUUAUCCGGAUUUACUGGGUGUAAAGGGAGCGUAGACGGCGACGCAAGUCUGAAGUGAAAUGCCAGUGCUCAACACUGGAACUGCUUUGGAAACUGUGUGGCUAGAGUGCAGGAGAGGUAAGUGGAAUUCCUAGUGUAGCGGUGAAAUGCGUAGAUAUUAGGAGGAACACCAGUGGCGAAGGCGGCUUACUGGACUGUAACUGACGUUGAGGCUCGAAGGCGUGGGGAGCAAACAGGAUUAGAUACCCGCGUAU